GACGAACGCUGGCGGCGUGCUUAACACAUGCAAGUCGAACGGAAAGGCCCUGCUUGCAGGGUACUCGAGUGGCGAACGGGUGAGUAACACGUGGGUGAUCUGCCCUGCACUUCGGGAUAAGCCUGGGAAACUGGGUCUAAUACCGGAUAGGAGCCAUUUUUAGUGUGAUGGUUGGAAAGUUUUUUCGGUGUAGGAUGAGCUCGCGGCCUAUCAGCUUGUUGGUGGGGUAAUGGCCUACCAAGGCGGCGACGGGUAGCCGGCCUGAGAGGGUGGACGGCCACAUUGGGACUGAGAUACGGCCCAGACUCCUCCGGGAGGCAGCAGUGGGGAAUAUUGCACAAUGGGCGCAAGCCUGAUGCAGCGACGCCGCGUGGGGGAUGACGGCCUUCGGGUUGUAAACUCCUUUCGCUAGGGACGAAGCUUUUUGUGACGGUACCUAGAUAAGAAGCACCGGCUAACUACGU
Molecule: ribosomal RNA, 464 nt
Filed under: uncultured bacterium
Lineage: Bacteria
Description: partial 16S ribosomal RNA
Rfam family: Bacterial small subunit ribosomal RNA
Source: RNAcentral